RNAcentral lists this ribosomal RNA (426 nucleotides) under uncultured Comamonadaceae bacterium. Its description in RNAcentral is "bacterial SSU rRNA". It matches the Rfam family "Bacterial small subunit ribosomal RNA", at positions 356 to 774 of the family's 1533-position model. The record is from RNAcentral. Lineage: Bacteria; Pseudomonadati; Pseudomonadota; Betaproteobacteria; Burkholderiales; Comamonadaceae.
GGGGAAUUUUGGACAAUGGGCGCAAGCCUGAUCCAGCAAUGCCGCGUGCAGGAUGAAGGCCUUCGGGUUGUAAACUGCUUUUGUACGGAGCGAAAAGGCUUCCACUAAUACUGGGGGCUCAUGACGGUACCGUAAGAAUAAGCACCGGCUAACUACGUGCCAGCAGCCGCGGUAAUACGUAGGGUGCAAGCGUUAAUCGGAAUUACUGGGCGUAAAGCGUGCGCAGGCGGUCUUGUAAGACAGGUGUGAAAUCCCCGGGCUUAACCUGGGAACUGCACUUGUGACUGCAAGGCUGGAGUACGGCAGAGGGGGAUGGAAUUCCGCGUGUAGCAGUGAAAUGCGUAGAUAUGCGGAGGAACACCGAUGGCGAAGGCAAUCCCCUGGGCCUGUACUGACGCUCAUGCACGAAAGCGUGGGGAGCAAACA